UACGGAGGGUGCAAGCGUUAAUCGGAAUUACUGGGCGUAAAGCGUGCGCAGGCGGUUUGUUAAGUCCGUUGUGAAAGCCCCGAGCUCAACUUGGGAAUUGCAGUGGAUACUGGCAGGCUGGAGUACGGUAGAGGAAGGUGGAAUUCCCGGUGUAGCAGUGAAAUGCGUAGAUAUCGGGAGGAACACCAGUGGCGAAGGCGGCUCACUGGCUCGUAACUGACGCUCAGGCGCGACAGCGUGGGGAUCAAACAGG
This 253-nucleotide ribosomal RNA is filed under the name uncultured bacterium. Its description in RNAcentral is "partial 16S ribosomal RNA". It matches the Rfam family "Bacterial small subunit ribosomal RNA", at positions 524 to 776 of the family's 1533-position model. The record is from RNAcentral.